AUACGGAGGGUGCAAGCGUUGUCCGGAAUCACUGGGUGUAAAGGGUGUGUAGGCGGGCUAGCAAGUCAGAGGUGAAAUCCUACGGCUCAACCGUAGAACUGCCCCUGAGACUGUUAGUCUUGAGUUUCGGAGAGGUUACUAGAAUUCGUGGUGUAGCGGUGAAAUGCGUAGAUAUCACGAGGAAUACCUGAGGCGUAGGCAAGUAACUGGACGAAUACUGACGCUGAGGCACGAAAGCGUGGGGAGCAAACAGGAUUAGAAACCCCGGUAGUCC
This 274-nucleotide ribosomal RNA is filed under the name uncultured bacterium. RNAcentral describes it as "partial 16S ribosomal RNA". It matches the Rfam family "Bacterial small subunit ribosomal RNA", at positions 523 to 796 of the family's 1533-position model. The record is from RNAcentral.